RNAcentral lists this ribosomal RNA (253 nucleotides) under uncultured bacterium. Its description in RNAcentral is "partial 16S ribosomal RNA". It matches the Rfam family "Bacterial small subunit ribosomal RNA", at positions 524 to 776 of the family's 1533-position model. The record is from RNAcentral.
GACGAAGGGGGCGAGCGUUACCCGGAAUGACUGGGCGUAAAGGGUUCGUAGACGGCUUUUUUUGUAAAAGGUUAAAUCAGGGAGCUCAACUUCCAUGUGCCUUUUAAACGUUCAAGCUAUGAGUAGGAUAGGAGAUAGCAGUAUUUCACAUGUAGGGGUGAUAUCCAUAGAAAUGUGAAGGACUCCCAGAGGCGAAGGCGGCUAUCUAGCUCCGUACUAACGUUGAGGAACGAAAGCAUGGGUAUCAAACAGG